UUUUAGAGAGAGAUGUAUGAUAAGAAAGUGCUAAACAAAUAAAUAUCUUCAGGAUUGGGGAAGCGAGGUGAAAUUCCUCCGCAGUGCCGCUACGGUAAUCCUCUUGUUUUAAAAACAAAGGAGAGUCCGAGUACCAAUCAUGAAGUAAUCCCGAGC
Molecule: non-coding RNA, 156 nt
Filed under: Candidatus Nomuraibacteriota
Lineage: Bacteria
Source: RNAcentral